This 428-nucleotide ribosomal RNA is filed under the name uncultured bacterium. RNAcentral's name for it is "bacterial SSU rRNA". It matches the Rfam family "Bacterial small subunit ribosomal RNA", at positions 356 to 775 of the family's 1533-position model. The record is from RNAcentral.
GGGGAAUCUUGCGCAAUGGGGGAAACCCUGACGCAGUGACGCCGCGUGAACGAUGAAGUCCUUCGGGAUGUAAAGUUCUGUCAGGCGGGAAGAACCUCCCCCCGAUGCAAAUCGGGGGGAGAUGACGGUACCGCCAGAGGAAGCACCGGCUAAUUCCGUGCCAGCAGCCGCGGUAAGACGGAGGGUGCAAGCGUUGUUCGGAAUUACUAGGCGUAAAGAGCGUGUAGGUGGUUAGCUAAGUCGGAUGUGAAAAUUCCGAGCUCAACUCGGAACCUGCAUUCGAAACUGGUUAACUUGAGUGUGGGAGAGGAGAGCGGAAUUCCUAGUGUAGCGGUGAAAUGCGUAGAUAUUAGGAAGAACACCGGUGGCGAAGGCGGCUCUCUGGCCUAAAACUGACACUGAGACGCGAAAGCGUGGGGAGCAAACAG